This 348-nucleotide unclassified non-coding RNA is filed under the name soil metagenome. RNAcentral's name for it is "partial contains 5.8S ribosomal RNA, internal transcribed spacer 2, and large subunit ribosomal RNA". The stretch from base 1 to 120 matches the Rfam family "5.8S ribosomal RNA", at positions 35 to 154 of the family's 154-position model. The record is from RNAcentral.
GAUGAAGAACGCAGCGAAAUGCGAUAAGUAAUGUGAAUUGCAGAAUUCAGUGAAUCAUCGAGUCUUUGAACGCACAUUGCGCCUCCUGGUAAUCCGGGGGGCAUGCCUGUCCGAGCGUCAUUGCUGCCCUCAAGCACGGCUUGUGUGUUGGGCCCCCGUCCCCGGUUUCCCCCGGGGACGGGCCCGAAAGGCAGCGGCGGCACCGCGUCCGGUCCUCGAGCGUAUGGGGCUUUGUCACCCGCUCUGUAGGCCCGGCCGGCGCCAGCCGACACCCAACUUUAUUUCUAAGGUUGACCUCGGAUCAGGUAGGGAUACCCGCUGAACUUAAGCAUAUCAAUAAGCGGAGGA